Molecule: non-coding RNA, 467 nt
Organism: Eleginops maclovinus (Patagonian blennie)
Lineage: Eukaryota; Metazoa; Chordata; Actinopteri; Perciformes; Eleginopidae
Source: the annotation of a RefSeq genome assembly
UCUUCACUGUGAUGCAGUUAUAAGGACUCCACAUGAGACUGUCAGUGGAGAUUAAAGAGCAUCAGGAGCUCACGUCCUCUCAGAGUCAUCAUCAACAUGUUCCCUGUAGCUCUGCUGCUGCUGCUGGCAGCUGGAAAUGUGAGGUGUGAACAGUUGACACAGCCAGCCUCUGUGACUGUGCAGCCAGGUCAACGCCUGACCAUCACCUGUCAGGUCUCUUAUUCUGUUAGCAGCUACUACACAGCCUGGAUCAGACAGCCUGCAGGGAAAGGACUGGAGUGGAUUGGAAUGGUAGCUGGAUCCACCACAUUCUAUAAAGAUUCACUGAAGAGCAAGUUCAGUAUGAGCUCAGACUCUUCCAGCAACACGGUGACUCUGAACGGACAGAGCGUGCAGCCUGGAGACUCUGCUGUGUAUUACUGUGCCAGAGACACACUGUGACACAAACCAUCAGUAGAGCUGAACAA